GGCUGAGGCUCAAGGGGUGUGGCUGACUGUACUGAUUAUCUUUACACAGUCCACACGUGCAACAGCCAGUUCAAUUUAGAAGAUGAGAGAGGGAGAAAGCUUUUUUGUUUUUAAUUAAUCUGGAUAGACGAGACGAUUUAGUAGUUUAGAUAGAGGAAGGCAUGGAAACCCUAUCCCCAAGCCAUCGUUCAUUUUACAUGUGCAGCAGCAGUCUCAUCGAAUGAUGAGGAAAUAUAUCACUUGUCUUUUACAAGUUCUACUUCUUCCCUCGGCUCCUCCUCCAGUGUUUCGGCUUCUGGAUACACCUACCGAAUGAGUGUGCAAAAUAUAAAAUCUGUUACAAAUCCUGUUUCCAGGACAUUAUAUUUUGUUUAGUGAACUACUUGCAUUGCUGCAGACAGCCACAAUAAAUGGGAACUUGGCAAUGACUGGGUUGUGUCCAAGAGCCCAACUGGACCAGAAGGGAGAGUACGUACCUGCUUCAUGUGUAUGUAGACUUUUCCUGAUUGAUUAGUGUGUGGAAGUUAAUAGCUGGUGAACUUGACAGAUGGAAAUGAAUUUUCUGGACUACACAACACCAUUGUUAAGACUUGCAUUGUUGAAUGCUUAGGAGCCUGUGGAACUGGAUGAAGAAAUUUCACAAGACACCACUGGAGGACUACAAUGAAGAUGACAUUACAAAUAACUGAUACCUGAUGCUGAGUUGGAUGCAGCAUCUGGAGAACUGUGGAGGUGCAGAGAUAAGAGGACACCAGCCCAUAUUCAUUUUUGUAAAUGACGAAAACAGCAUACAGCUAUGCUCCUCGAAUGCCAAACAUGUUGCCUUUCUUAAAGUAGCUUACAAUGUUUGUGAUGAUGAAUAUAUGUUCCCUCCCAUCAGGCACUGGUAGAUUACAGGAUAGCAGUUGUGUUUUGUCGACCGUGACAUUUCAAAUUAUACAUGCUUAAUUUCUGAUUUAUACAUCUUGUUAUGUACCGAAGUGAUUGUGUAUUUUCUCAAACAUACAGUUAUCGAUGCUUUACAUAACCUUAAUGGGUAUUAGCACACAUUGCAUGACUGCUUAUAAUGCCUCUGCAAAGUACAUUAAUGUUAUGAUAGCUUGGUUUGUGGUUUUGUUAGAGGGGUGCUUGUAAGCACACAUUUAGAUUCUUAUAGUGUCUGCUCCAUUGUAUGCUCCCACACAUUCAGAGACAUAAAAUACAUGUUUGUAUUUUUGUUGUUAUUCAGAUUGUGUACUGCUAAAGGGUGUACUUCACGGAGCUGCUCUGGUAACGCUAUCACUGGAAUUUGUGUCUACACAGGUGGUGGCCAAAUGCUCCUGCCUAUUUUGAUAUACAUGAAUGUCACAUGCAAUAAUGGAAUUGUGAGCAUGUGUGUGUGUGUGUGCAUGUACAUGUGUGUGGGAACAUGUGUGCCAAGUGUAUGUGUGUGUGACUAAAUACUGAUGUUUCUGUUUGUGAAAUAUGUACAUUUGUAUGUGAUUUGUAUGAUCAUGUAUGUCUGUGUGCAUGUACAUAUGUGCAUGCAUGUGCAUGAUGUGUGUGCUUUGUAUGGAUGUGCAU
Molecule: long non-coding RNA, 1563 nt
Organism: Protopterus annectens (West African lungfish)
Lineage: Eukaryota; Metazoa; Chordata; Ceratodontiformes; Protopteridae
Exons: 3
Source: RefSeq, a predicted model, not a curated record